Molecule: long non-coding RNA, 1241 nt
Organism: Neocloeon triangulifer
Lineage: Eukaryota; Metazoa; Arthropoda; Insecta; Ephemeroptera; Baetidae
Exons: 6
Source: RefSeq, a predicted model, not a curated record
UCGACAGCUUUCGGACAAUUUUGCUCCUGAUUUUCGACCGGCUGUGACCGCAUCGGCACAAAGUGCUUUUGUAUUUUCAUUAAAGUAAAAUUCAAGAGUCAUUUUGGGCCAUCCAGUCGCGACUCGCGAGCACCAGUCCAAACAACCCUUAGGCUGACCCUCAAUUGGAGCUGGCGGAGGGUGAGCGUACCAUCACCAUGGCAGGGACCCUGUCUGGUGCUACACCUGUGGCAAAAGGGUGGGUUCGUCGGCGCGCUCGUCCAGAGACCACUUCGAGCAACCAACUGCUGCGCAAGUGUCUGGGAAACAUUUUUGAGCAGGACUUGGUCGAGGAUCGGACCACCAGGUCCCGACCUCUGUAAGAAUUUGUGCAAGGCGUGCCACAAAAUGGUGCUGAGCAUUGACGAGGUGGCGAGGCAGCUCAACCGAAGGAGCAGGAGGUCAUCGGCAAGUUAAAAGACCGAGGCCGAGUGCUGCCGGUCACCAAGGGCAAGAGUGGCAAAAUUUCCAGGAGGCGGUAUGGAGGUAAAAUAAAUCUAAAUAUUAAGUGAUGCGUUUUUUUGUUUUAGAAAUUUCAUAAGCAGGCGGAGGAAGGGGGUUGUCCAGAGGUUGUUGCGGAGAAAACGAUUGAGCCAUUGCACCAAAGAAGUCAAGGGGUUGCCCGCCCAAAAAGGCGUACACCCUAGCAGCCAGAAGGGAUAUGGACUCCGACCAUUGACUCCGACACUUUGAUGAAGCGGUUGGAGGAAAUUCACGGUGAAUAAAAGAAGGGUGAGGUGAGGAGAAGCAAAUCGUUGUCCGGGUUGCCUCCAACGAGGAGGCCAUGGGCUGCAACAACAGUGACCUUGACUCUGAUCCCUCUCAGGCCGAAAGGGCUGAACCUCCGGCCAAGAAAUCAAGAGCCCAUGUCAUUGAAGUGGCAAGCAAGAGGGCAGGAGGCCCACUCAAGAAGAGGGGCAGACCCCGAGACAGCGAUUUGGGCGUUGACGGUACACAUCAAGGAGGAGGAUGAGGUUGAGGAGCCGUCAGCUCUGCUGAAAUGCUCGGCCUGCGAAUUGAAAUUCACAGAGAUCCAGAAACUGAUCAACACCAGAAAGAGGUUCAUCCGCCGGAAGAGUGAGACGAAGAGAGCGCACUCGCCAAGUGCGCCCUCGGACUAACCAGUGCGACAACUGCCCCAAGAAUAUUAUGAAACCGGAGCACAACAAGCCGGAGCACUUGGCUCAGCAUGGCCAAAACGG